GAUGAACGCUGGCGGCGUGCCUAAUACAUGCAAGUCGAACGAAAAGACCAGGAGCUUGCUCCUCUGACGUUAGCGACGGACGGGUGAGUAACAAAUGCAUAACCUAACUAUUAUACUGGAAUAACUUCGGGAAAACGGAGCUAAUACAGACUAAUGUAUUGAACUGCAUGGCUCAAUAGUGAAAGACGGUUUUCCUGUCACUUAUAGAUGGAUCAGCGCCGCAUUAGCUAGUUGGUAAGGUAACGGCUUACCAAGGCAACGAUGCGUAGCCGACCUGAGAGGGUGAUCGGCCACACUGGAACAGAGACACGGUCCAGACUCCUACGCGAGGCAGCAGCAUGGAAGCCGCCGCAACGGUCUAGAGUCUGAUCGAGCAACAGCGCGUAAGUAAUGAAAAUCUUGGGGCUGGUAAACGGUGUUACAAGGGAAGAACAAAUGUAGAAUUAACGGUUGACAGCGUGACGGUACCAAGACAGAAAGCCACGGCUAACUUCGGU
Molecule: ribosomal RNA, 497 nt
Filed under: uncultured bacterium
Lineage: Bacteria
Description: partial 16S ribosomal RNA
Rfam family: Bacterial small subunit ribosomal RNA
Source: RNAcentral